AACGAACGCUGGCGGCAUGCCUAACACAUGCCAGUCGAACGAGACCUUCGGGUCUAGUGGCGCACGGGUGCGUAACGUGUGGGAACCUGCCCUUAGGUUCGGAAUAACUCCCCGAAAGGGGUGCUAAUACCGGAUAAUGUCUUCGGACCAAAGAUUUAUCGCCUUUGGAUGGGCCCGCGUUGGAUUAGCUAGUUGGUAGGGUAAAAGCCUACCAAGGCGACGAUCCAUAGCUGGUCUGAGAGGAUGAUCAGCCACACUGGGACUGAGACACGGCCCAGACUCCUACGGGAGGCAGCAGUGGGGAAUAUUGGACAAUGGGCGAAAGCCUGAUCCAGCAAUGCCGCGUGAGUGAUGAAGGCCUUAGGGUUGUAAAGCUCUUUUACCCGGGAUGAUAAUGACAGUACCGGGAGAAUAAGCUCCGGCUAACUCCGUG
Molecule: ribosomal RNA, 433 nt
Filed under: uncultured bacterium
Lineage: Bacteria
Description: partial 16S ribosomal RNA
Rfam family: Bacterial small subunit ribosomal RNA
Source: RNAcentral